GCAUAUCAAUAAGCGGAGGAAAAGAAACUAACAAGGAUUCCCCUAGUAACUGCGAGUGAAGCGGGAUAAGCUCAAAUUUAAAAUCUGGCGGUCUUUGGCCGUCCGAGUUGUAGUCUGGAGAAGUGCUUUCCGCGCUGGACCGUGUAUAAGUCUCUUGGAACAGAGCGUCAUAGAGGGUGAGAAUCCCGUCUUUGACACGGACUACCAGUGCUUUGUGAUGCGCUCUCAAAGAGUCGAGUUGUUUGGGAAUGCAGCUCAAAAUGGGUGGUAAAUUCCAUCUAAAGCUAAAUAUUGGCGAGAGACCGAUAGCGAACAAGUACCGUGAGGGAAAGAUGAAAAGCACUUUGGAAAGAGAGUUAAACAGUACGUGAAAUUGCUGAAAGGGAAACGCUUGAAGUCAGUCGCGUCUGCCGGAACUCAGCCUUGCUUUUGCUUGGUGCAUUUUCCGGUUGACGGGCCAGCAUCGAUUUUGACCGUCGGAAAAGGGCUAGGGAAAUGUGGCACCUUCGGGUGUGUUAUAGUCUCUAGUCGCAUACGGCGGUUGGGAUCGAGGACCGCAGCGCGCCGCAAGGCAGGGGUUCGCCCACUUUCGCGCUUAGGAUGCUGGCAUAAUGGCUUUAAACGACCCGUCUUGAAACACGGACC
Molecule: ribosomal RNA, 645 nt
Filed under: Polyporales sp. JCM 28422
Lineage: Eukaryota; Fungi; Basidiomycota; Agaricomycetes; Polyporales
Description: eukaryotic LSU rRNA
Rfam family: Eukaryotic large subunit ribosomal RNA
Source: RNAcentral